ACCCCGAGAGGGGAGUGAAAUAGACCUGAAACCGUGUACGUACAAACAGUCGGAGUAUCGAUUUAUCGAUAUGACGGCGUGCCUUUUGAAGAAUGAACCUGCGAGUUACUGGGACGUGGCAAGGUUAAUCUGCUAAGCAGAGGAGCCGAAGCGAAAGCGAGUCUGAAUAGGGCAUUCAGUCGCGUUCCGUAGACCCGAAACCAGGCGAGCUACCCAUGGCCAGGUUGAAGCUCAGAUAGUCUCUGAGUGAAGGACCGAACCCAUUUCAAGUACAAAUGGAUGGGAUGAGUUGUGGGUAGAGGUGAAAUGCCAAUCGAGCUUGGAAAUAGCUGGUUCUCCCCGAAAUGCAUUUAGGUGCAGCGUUGAAGAUUGACUUGAGGAGGUAAGGCUCUGGAUGGGUCAGGGGGUGCAAACUUACCGAUCCCAACCAAACCAAGAAUGCCUUAAGCUCGUACUUCGGCAGUGAGACAGUGGGGGAUAAGCUCCAUUGUCGAGAGGGAAACAGCCCAGACCACCGUCUAAGGUCCCCAAGUAUAUACUCAGUGUGAAAGGAAGUUGAAUCGCCAAAACAGCCAGGAGGUUGGCUUAGAAGCAGCCACCCUUUAAAGAGUGCGUAAUAGCUCACUGGUCGAGGGGUUCUGCGCCGACAAUUUAACGGGGCUUAAGUAUAUCACCGAAGACGUGGCAUCAGUUUACUGAUGGGUAGGGGAGCGUUCUGUAGGCAGUGAAGUCUAGUUGUAAAGCUAGGUGGAGCGUACAGAAGUGAGAAUGCAGGUAUGAGUAGCGUAUAUCUCGGUGAGAAUCCGAGACGUCGAAAAUCUGAGGAUUCCUACGCAACGUUUAUCGACGUAGGGUUAGUCGGUCCUAAGGUGUAUCCGAAAGGAGUAACCGAUGGACAGUAGGUCAAAAUUCCUACACCACCUAUUAUUCGUUUUAAUACAAAGGGGGGACACGGAAAGGUAGGCUGAGCGUGCCUAAUGGACAUGGUGCGUUCUUCUUUGAAGGCCAUCUCGCAAGACAUGUAAAUCAGUUAGCGAGGUUAUGAGCUGAGGAAGGAGAGAACUCUAGGGCUCGCCCUGGGGAAUUCGGUUGAACCUAUGCCGUCAAGAAAAGCCUCGUUGUAAGGAUAAUGGGUGACCGUACCGUAAACCGACACUGGUAGAUGAGCAUGAAAGUGCUAAGACGGUCGAGAGAACUCUGGUUAAGGAACUCGGCAAAAGGACCCCGUAACUUCGGGAUAAGGGGUUCCCUCGGGGUGAAGUCUAUUUACUAGACCAGCUCUAGAGGGACACAGCAAAUUGGCCCAAGCGACUGUUUAUCAAAAACACAGGUCUCUGCUAAGGGGUAACCCUAGGUAUAGAGGCUGACGCCUGCCCAGUGCCGGAAGGUUAAAGGGAAAGGUUAUCCGUAAGGAGAAGCUUUGAACUGAAGCCCCGGUGAACGGCGGCCGUAACUAUAACGGUCCUAAGGUAGCGAAGUCCCUUGUCGGGUAAGUUCCGACCCGCACGAAUGGCGUAACGACUUGGGCGCUGUCUCAACCAGAGACUCGGCGAAAUUGCAUUGGCCGUGAAGAUGCGGCCUACCCGCGACAGGACAAAAAGACCCCAUGGAGCUUUACUACAGCUUGGCAUUGAAUUGAGGACUGGAAUGUGUAGGAUAGGUGGGAGGCUUUGAAGCUUCGGCGCUAGUCGAAGUGGAGCCGUUGUUGAAAUACCACUCUUUUCUGUUGUUGAUUCUAACCUGUGAUAGGCACAGGGACCGUGUCUGGUGGGUAGUUUGACUGGGGCGGUCGCCUCCCAAAGAGUAACGGAGGCGUACAAAGGUUCGCUCAGGACGGAUGGAAAUCGUCCGAAGAGUGCAUUGGCAUAAGCGAGCUUGACUGUGAGACCUACAAGUCGAGCAGGUGCGAAAGCAGGUCAAAGUGAUCCUACGGUUCCGCAUGGAAGGGCCGUGGCUUAACGGAUAAAAGCUACCCUGGGGAUAACAGGCUUAUCUUGCCCAAGAGUUCACAUCGACGGCAAGGUUUGGCACCUCGAUGUCGGCUCGUCGCAUC
This 2053-nucleotide ribosomal RNA is filed under the name marine metagenome. Its description in RNAcentral is "bacterial LSU rRNA". It matches the Rfam family "Bacterial large subunit ribosomal RNA", at positions 523 to 2546 of the family's 2925-position model. The record is from RNAcentral.